Molecule: long non-coding RNA, 667 nt
Organism: Pistacia vera
Lineage: Eukaryota; Viridiplantae; Streptophyta; Magnoliopsida; Sapindales; Anacardiaceae
Exons: 3
Source: RefSeq, a predicted model, not a curated record
CUGCAGUUGAACCGAGUAGCUCGUGAGCUACUCGGAUUCGACUAGUGACGAGCUCGGGCUCGACUCGUCGGAGAACGAGUAGUUCUCGAGUUCGAGCUCAACGUCAAGCUUGUGAAAACUGUCGAGCUUUUCAUGCUCAACUCAAACUGUUCGCGAGCUGUUCGACCAACUGGAGACGUCAUUCGAGCAGGAGAUUGAGUUGUGUUAAUAUUUGCCCUAAAAUCUGAAAUCAAGUCAUUCAUUCGGCCGAAAACAGACAUUCAACUAUUCACCUCCAAAACAUAGCGCAAGAUCUGAGACCACCAUUGUCCAGCCUUCAUCCAGCCUUCAUUCAACUACUACCGACCAGCGACUAGCUUCAGCUACUAUCGUCCACCAUCGUCUUCCCUUCUUCACUUCCCUGCUGCCACAAGGUACAUUUUCCUGCUUCUUGACACCCAAAGUUGUCUCUCGCCGUCUAUCUGAUACUCAGACGAAUUUAUUCUAGCUGGAGAACUUCAAGAAACAAGCAAGAGGGCAAUCAUUGAGAGAAUGGGGGAACUGGAGAAGCUAGAGUGAAGAAUUAAUUAUUAGUAAAUGUUGUCUGGAUUGCACUUUGGUUUAUAUUUUUUAUUUUUUUCCCAAGUUGAUGGUGCUAUUAUAUGAUUUGUUUACCCAUUUUUGCACA